AAGACACGCAGCGACUGGCGGCACGGGGAUGGUCGAACCAUCGGGGAGCUGCUCGUCACGAGGGAGUCGACCGCCUGGGCUCCCCGC
This 87-nucleotide non-coding RNA is filed under the name Actinoplanes derwentensis. RNAcentral's name for it is "ZTP sequence". It matches the Rfam family "ZMP/ZTP riboswitch aptamer (pfl RNA motif)". Rfam says of the family: Previously known as pfl RNA. ZMP is also known as AICAR. The record is from Rfam by way of RNAcentral. Lineage: Bacteria; Bacillati; Actinomycetota; Actinomycetes; Micromonosporales; Micromonosporaceae.